This 441-nucleotide ribosomal RNA is filed under the name uncultured bacterium. RNAcentral describes it as "partial 16S ribosomal RNA". It matches the Rfam family "Bacterial small subunit ribosomal RNA", at positions 338 to 795 of the family's 1533-position model. The record is from RNAcentral.
CCUACGGGAGGCAGCAGUGGGGAAUAUUGGGCAAUGGGCGCAAGCCUGACCCAGCAACGCCGCGUGAAGGAUGAAGGUUUUCGGAUUGUAAACUUCUGUUGCGAGGGACGAAGAAUGAGGGUACCUUGCAAGAAAGCCUCGGCUAACUACGUGCCAGCAGCCGCGGUAAUAAGCAGGGGGCAAGCGUUGUCCGGAAUGACUGGGCGUAAAGGGAGUGGAGGCGGCUCAUCAGGUUAGGUGUGAAAUCCCGCGGCUGAACCGCCGAACUGCAUCUGAAACUGGUAGGCUGGAGUGCAGGAGAGGUAGGUGGAAUUCGUGGUGUAGCGGUGGAAUGCGUAGAUAUUAGGAGGAACGCCAGAGGCGAAGGCGGCUCACUGGACUGUAACUGACGCUGAGGCUCGAAAGCGUGGGGAGCAAACAGGAUUAGAUACCCGGGUAGUC